RNAcentral lists this ribosomal RNA (247 nucleotides) under uncultured bacterium. RNAcentral's name for it is "partial 16S ribosomal RNA". It matches the Rfam family "Bacterial small subunit ribosomal RNA", at positions 523 to 769 of the family's 1533-position model. The record is from RNAcentral.
AUACGUAGGUGGCGAGCGUUGUCCGGAAUUACUGGGUGUAAAGGGAGUGUAGGCGGGAAGGCAAGUCAGAAGUGAAAAUUAUGGGCUUAACCCAUAACCUGCUUUUGAAACUGUUUUUCUUGAGUGAGGCAGAGGCAAGCGGAAUUCCUAGUGUAGCGGUGAAAUGCGUAGAUAUUAGGAGGAACACCAGUGGCGAAGGCGGCUUGCUGGGCCUUUACUGACGCUGAGGCUCGAAAGCGUGGGGAGC